CAUUUUGAACUUUUUCACUAAAAAAUUAUGGUGUUGCGUUUCCACGCAUCGCGUGCAUUUCUUCCCCUUACCACUUCUUGUUUUCUGAAAUUAGGGUUUACUUCGCCAACGAAAUCCUUCGCCAAGAUGGCAUCAGAAAAUUACACGUUUGGGCGGUACAAGAUUGAUCCGAAGGAAGUAUUCUACUGCACCAGUCUCUCUUACGCCAUGGUCAACCUCCGUCCUCUUGUUCCUGGUCACGUGCUUGUCUGCCCAAAGCGUGAAGUUCAGCGCUUUGCUGAUCUCACUCCUGACGAGACUUGUGACCUAUGGCUCGCUGCUCAACGGGUUGGUCGUCAGUUAGAGUCAUACCAUGAAGCUUCAUCAAUCACAUUUGCAAUUCAAGAUGGUCCUCAGGCAGGACAAACUGUACCCCAUGUCCACAUCCAUAUUCUCCCAAGGAAGGGUGGUGACUUUGAGAAAAAUGAUGAGAUUUAUGAUGCUAUUGAUGAGAAGGAGAAAGAGAUGAAGCAGCAUCUUGAUUUGGACAAGGAGAGGAAAGAUAGAAACCUAGAGGAGAUGGCUGAAGAGGCAGACCGGUACAGAAAGCUUUUGUUGUAACUUUCUUUGAUGAGCUUCUGAUUAUCAUUGAGUAUUAAGUAGUAUUUUCCUUUUUUUUUAUGAAAGAUUUGAACUUUGGACC
RNA transcript from Cucurbita maxima (winter squash), 682 nucleotides. It is a transcript of the gene named bifunctional bis(5'-adenosyl)-triphosphatase/adenylylsulfatase FHIT, with no coding region annotated. The transcript has 7 exons. Lineage: Eukaryota; Viridiplantae; Streptophyta; Magnoliopsida; Cucurbitales; Cucurbitaceae. The record is from RefSeq and is a predicted model, not a curated record.